Molecule: non-coding RNA, 73 nt
Organism: Rattus norvegicus (Norway rat)
Lineage: Eukaryota; Metazoa; Chordata; Mammalia; Rodentia; Muridae
Source: Rfam
GGAGAGAUGGCUCAGUGGUUAAGAGCACUGGCUGCUCUUCCAGAGGUCCUGAGUUCAAUUCCCAGUAACCACA